GACGGGGAUGAAGCCCCAGAGGCGGGUCCUAUACAUGCAAGUCGAACGCUUUUUCUUUCACCGGAGCUUGCUCCACCGAAAGAAAAAGAGUGGCGAACGGGUGAGUAACACGUGGGUAACCUGCCCAUCAGAAGGGGAUAACACUUGGAAACAGGUGCUAAUACCGUAUAACACUAUUUUCCGCAUGGAAGAAAGUUGAAAGGCGCUUUUGCGUCACUGAUGGAUGGACCCGCGGUGCAUUAACUAGUUGGUGAGGUAACGGCUCACCAAGGCAACGAUGCAUAGCCGACCUGAGAGGGAGAUCGGCCACACUGGGACUGAGACACGGCCCAAACUCCUACGGGAGGCAGCAGUAGGGAAUCUUCGGCAAUGGACGAAAGUCUGACCGAGCAACGCCGCGUGAGUGAAGAAGGUUUUCGGAUCGUAAAACUCUGUUGUUAGAGAAGAACAAGGAUGAGAGUAAAAUGUUCAUCCCUUGACGGUAUCUAACCAGAAAGCCACGGCUAACUACGUGCCAGCAGCCGCGGUAAUACGUAGGUUGGCAAGCGUUGUCCGGGAUUUAUUGGGCAUAAAGCGAGCGCAGGCGGUUUCUUAAAUCUGAUGGGAAAGCCCCCGGCUCAACCGGGGAGGGUCAUUGGAAACUGGGAGACUUGAGUGCAGAAGAGGAGAGUGGAAUUCCAUGUGUAGCGGUGAAAUGCGUAGAUAUAUGGAGGAACACCAGUGGCGAAGGCGGCUCUCUGGUCUGUAACUGACGCUGAGGCUCGAAAGCGUGGGGAGCGAACAGGAUUAGAUACCCUGGUAGUCCACGCCGUAAACGAUGAGUGCUAAGUGUUGGAGGGUUUCCGCCCUUCAGUGCUGCAGCAACGCAUUAAGCACUCCGCCUGGGGAGUACGACCAGCAAGGUUGAAACUCAAAGGAAUUGACGGGGGGCCCGCACAGCGGUGGAGCAUGUGGUUUAUUCGAGCACUGCGGAAGAACUUACCAGUCUGACAUUCUUUGACCACUCUGAAGAUAAAGCUUCCCUUCGGGGCAAAUUGACAGGUGGUGCAUGUUGUUCGUCACUCGUGUCUUGAAUGUUGGUUAAGUCCCCACGAAGCCAACUUUAUUGUAAUUGCCUCAUUAAUUGGCACCUGCACGCGAGAUUGCGGUACAAACGGAAGAGGGUGGAUAGACUCAA
Molecule: ribosomal RNA, 1177 nt
Filed under: Enterococcus casseliflavus
Lineage: Bacteria; Bacillati; Bacillota; Bacilli; Lactobacillales; Enterococcaceae
Description: bacterial SSU rRNA
Rfam family: Bacterial small subunit ribosomal RNA
Source: RNAcentral